Molecule: ribosomal RNA, 315 nt
Filed under: Alteromonas ponticola
Lineage: Bacteria; Pseudomonadati; Pseudomonadota; Gammaproteobacteria; Alteromonadales; Alteromonadaceae
Description: bacterial SSU rRNA
Rfam family: Bacterial small subunit ribosomal RNA
Source: RNAcentral
UUAAUUGAAGAGUUUGAUCAUGGCUCAGAUUGAACGCUGGCGGCAGGCCUAACACAUGCAAGUCGAACGGUAGCAGGAUGUGCUUGCACAUCGCUGACGAGUGGCGGACGGGUGAGUAAUGCUUGGGAACUUGCCUUUGCGAGGGGGAUAACAGUUGGAAACGACUGCUAAUACCGCAUAAUGUUUUCGGACCAAACGGGGCUUAGGCUCCGGCGCAAAGAGAGGCCCAAGUGAGAUUAGCUAGUUGGUGAGGUAAAGGCUCACCAAGGCGACGAUCUCUAGCUGUUCUGAGAGGAAGAUCAGCCACACUGGGAC